This 22-nucleotide microRNA is filed under the name Macaca mulatta (Rhesus monkey). Lineage: Eukaryota; Metazoa; Chordata; Mammalia; Primates; Cercopithecidae. The record is from RNAcentral. RNAcentral also lists the same sequence under 1 other name.
AAAGUGCAUCCUUUUAGAGGAU